GACGAACGCUGGCGGCGUGCUUAACACAUGCAAGUCGAACGGAAAGGCCUGCUUUCCCUUGUGGAUUGCGGGUACUCGAGUGGCGAACGGGUGAGUAACACGUGAGUGAUCUGCCCCCAACUUGGGUAUAAGCCUGGGAAACUGGGUCUAAUUCCCGAUAGGACUGCAGGGUGGUGCCUGUGGUUGAAAACGAUUUUCUAGUGGUUGGGGAUGAGCUCGCGGCCUAUCAGCUUGUUGGUGGGGUAAUGGCCUACCAAGGCGGCGACGGGUAGCCGGCCUGAGAGGGUGGACGGCGACAUUGGGACUGAGAUACGGCCCAGACUCCGACGGGAGGCAGCAGUGGGGAAUAUAGCAAAAUGGGCGGAAGCCUGAAGCAGCGACGCCGCGUGGGGGAUGACGGCCUUCGGGUUGUAAACUCCUUUCGACCGCGAGGAAGCCACCUGGUUGGAAGGGUGGUGACGGUAGUGGUAGAAGAAGCACCGGCUAACUACGUG
Molecule: ribosomal RNA, 494 nt
Filed under: uncultured bacterium
Lineage: Bacteria
Description: partial 16S ribosomal RNA
Rfam family: Bacterial small subunit ribosomal RNA
Source: RNAcentral